UAAUCGGCCCUUUUCAGGGCCACAAACAGUUUUAAAACGUUGGAA
This is a regulatory RNA element of 45 nucleotides. It matches the Rfam family "Histone 3' UTR stem-loop". Rfam says of the family: The mRNAs of metazoan histone genes lack a poly-A tail. 3' end processing occurs at a site between a highly conserved stem-loop (modelled by this family) and a purine rich region around 20 nts downstream (the histone downstream element, or HDE). The record is from Rfam.